Molecule: long non-coding RNA, 3319 nt
Filed under: Ricinus communis (castor bean)
Lineage: Eukaryota; Viridiplantae; Streptophyta; Magnoliopsida; Malpighiales; Euphorbiaceae
Description: long non-coding RNA (RCOM_LNC000083)
Source: RNAcentral
UUUUUAACAAUAUAUCAUCUUCUAACACCAAUCUGGUUCCCCAAUAAAGAAGCCAGAUAAGUUAGAAUCUUGAGAUAUGAAAUAUUAUUCAAGAACAUUUGCCAGAUCCAUAUAAACUAUAAUAGCUAGAUUUUGAUGUACCGCACAAAAGUAAUUAAAUGCCAAAACAUUUAAAGACCUCAAUAUUCAUGGCUCCCUUACUCUGCAGGUGUAAAUGUUGUCCUCCGCCACUUACUGAACCUCAACUGAAAGACAUAUUUAAGCACUUUGACGGGGACGGAGAUGGCCUUCUAAGCAGGCAAGAGCUUAUUAAUGCUUUCGAGUACAUAGGUUCUGGAUAGCCUGGUUGGCGAGCAAAGCAUGCACUGAGUCACGCUGACAGAAAUGGAGAUGGAUAUAUCAACGAAAAGAAGUUACAAGAGGUUAUCAAGUAUGCUUUUAGACAAGGUUAUAUAAUGUCAGCUGCUUAGAAUUUGUAAGAGGAGCCCUUUUUUUCUUUUUAUAUAGCAAAUCAACAAAACAUACCAUACUAAUUUAACCCAUGUAGUUUGGAGGUUUUAUAUUUCACCGUUUGGUAAGACCUCAUGAUUUGAGAUAUUUUUAUUAAGCCAGAUGAUUUUAAGACAAACUAGCUCAACAGAUUGAAUAGGUGCAAGUUUUCACUAGUUUGAUCACUGGUUCAAUUUCUUAAAAAUAUUAGUCUAUAAGAAAACAAGUUAUUUCUUAAAAAUACUUUUGAUUUACUAAAAAAUAAAUAAUUUUCCGAAAAGAUAAGGGAAUUCAGCAGUUACUUAGAUACAUGGAUUAGCAAAAUAAUUCCUAUUUGGAGGGUUUAAUUGUAUUAAACUAAAAGUGGAGGAGUAAAGGCCUGUAUCGUACAAGUUGGAAGGCCAAGAAAGAAUCUAUCAACAAUUGUGGCUUAAUUUGACUGAUGGGACCAGGUGGCAUUGUUACACAAAUCAUUUAAAGGGAACAACUGUACACGCACCAAAUAUUAUUCUCUGGGUCAAAAUUCGCAUCAGUGCUAUCCGCAAUAGAACAAAUCCAAAUUACUUUAGAGAUGCUAUGCUUAGCAUUCUUAUUUUUUAACCACUCGACUCCCUUCUUUGAAUCUAGUAUACAGUACAGAGGUGGCAAUUAAGUCAAGUUGGGCUGGUUUUAGGUUAGAAUAUCUUUUAGGUCUGGGUUAAUUCCACCUAGGGUUAUUUUAUGUUUCUCAUUCUUUUGGGUGGAUUUGGAUUUGAAUCAGGUUUUGUUUGAUUCAAGUCGCUAUUUUUAAGUUUUCAGGCAUUAAAAAGAAAAUUCAGAUCAUCUUUGAGCUUUGGAUUGAGUUAUUUACUCAUUCUUAUGGUAUUAAAAAAUAGAAUAUAUAUAUGCAAUAGUAGACACCGUCAUUUAAGUUUAGCUCAUUUGGGAUCACCCGUUACCAGACCCAAUUCUAAUAUUUCCAGGUCAUUAGGGUGGGGUUAUUUCCGAAUGUGCUCGGAUCAUGGGCAAGUUUGAAUCAUAAUUUUUAGGUUGGGGGGGUUCAAAUGGUAAAAAAAUAUAGUUAGUACUUGUACUUUUCUUGUUCUUGCAAAAUGAGUAUUUUUCCAGAAGUCGACGUAAGUGAUAGAUUAAAUUUAUUUAAAAAUUUCUUCAUAUAGAGCUACCCUUUUUCUAUAUAUGCUAUUUUCUGAUAUUAUCAUUUUUAAUGAUUAUAAAUUAUUAGACAACAGAUUCAAACCCCAAUAAUGCAUAAAAAUUAUCUAUUUAUAUCUCACAAACUUAGGACAGAAAAAAGCAAAAUAAAUUUUCCAAGGACAGAAAUAAUCCUGGAAGCAGUUAUAAGCCAAGAAUUAAAUUCGGUAAUCCGCAGCAAGAUCUAACAAAAGAAAAGGAAAAAUCGAAGGGUCUGCUGCAGUGGAUUUUCUUCUGCUGCCACCUUAAUUUAAAAAAAAAAAAAAAAGCAAAAGACAAGAUAAGUACUGAUGGAUUCUACUAAAAUGCAUGUCCAAGCCAUUCCAUGGAGGUUGGACGCUGGAUACGCAGUUCAAUAGCUACACCAUGAUCGAGUUAGUCUUAAAUGAACCUGUAUAAAGAGUUGAGCUUAGUAUUUAUUUAGCUUAUUGAAGUGACGAUCCAUCCCUUAUAUAGCCUUGAAACGAAUUACUCUAUUAGGAACAAACUGUAAGACCUUUCUCAAUAGGAACGGAUUGUUUCUAAGAUUUCUCCCACGAUCUUAAUAUCAAUUCCUUUCUUAUCUGUUAAUCUAUAUAUAUAUAUAUAUAUAUAUAUAUAUAUAUAUAUAUAUAUAUAUAUAUAUAUGUGCUACAUGACUAUAUUUUAAAAUUCUUUCUUUAGUCUAACUGCAUGGAAUACUUUAAUAUUGUGUAGUGAUGAAUCUGAAUUCAGUUAUCUAUCAUGCAUGACUAGUCUUAAUAAAAAGGUUUUGAAAAAGAAAACACAAAAACAAGAAAUGAAGAUAAGUAUGACAAGAUUAUUUUCUAUUUUCCCUUUUCUAGGCCUAUAUAAAAUCCUUUGUACCUUAACUUCCAAAGAUACACAAGUAGCUUCUCAAUAAAACCAACAACCAGGAAAGAACUAAACAACAGCAUUUAAACAUGUUUGCAUCCACUAACCUUAAGAAUGUAAAGUGUGUAAAGCCUAUGCCGAUUGAUGCGCGAUUGAAAGAUGCGUUCAGGCGUUUUGACACAAACGGAGAUGGAUACCUCAGUGUCGAAGAGCUUAAAAAUGCAUACAGCACCUUAGGUAUGUCUUUUCCCACAUGUCGAGCUUGGCGAGCAGUCUACGUUGCAGAUGAAAAUAGAGAUGGGUACAUCAGCGAGAAAGAGUUUCAGAAGCUACUGAAAGCUGCUCAUAAAUAACAAGCUAUAGGUUAAUUAUAAUAUUAACAACGAGAGUUAGAGUUGUUGCUCAAAGGCAGCUUAGUUAGAGUGGCUCUGAGUUGUGUACUUCACUGUUAGUUUCUUUCUUUACUUCAGAAAAGAAAAUAAAAUGAGAAAUAGAGGGGAGUCGUCCUUUGCUGUACAUUUCAUCUAAUAAUUUGUCACUUCCUUCUACAUAUUACUCGUUUUCAGUUUAUUUUAGUUGAUACUCAUAUGCUUACUAGAGAAGAUUCACUGUUCCUAUAGACUAUAGUGAAUAUUGUCUUAGUUUAGACAGUUUGUAAACAAUAAAAUGGCACCCUUAAACUCAUUGGUUGUAGAUCACUUUCGCUCUUUCUACUUCUGUGGUCUCAAUUUUCCCAAAAGAAUUCAAGGAGAGAUGGAAUAUAUGCACAUCCGUUUGAUUAGGAACACUUUUAGCUUUUGUUGGC